ACAUGACCUUAGCUUAGGUGAGGCUACCCAAUGAGUUUAAGCAUAUCAAUAAGUGAAGGAAAAGAAACUAACAAGGAUUUCACUA
Molecule: ribosomal RNA, 85 nt
Filed under: Aphanocalyx heitzii
Lineage: Eukaryota; Viridiplantae; Streptophyta; Magnoliopsida; Fabales; Fabaceae
Description: partial 28S ribosomal RNA
Rfam family: Eukaryotic large subunit ribosomal RNA
Source: RNAcentral